AGUGAACGCUGGCGGUAGGCCUAACACAUGCAAGUCGAACGGCAGCACAGUAAGAGCUUGCUCUUACGGGUGGCGAGUGGCGGACGGGUGAGGAAUACAUCUGAAUCUACUUUUUCGUGGGGGAUAACUUAGGGAAACUUACGCUAAUACCGCAUACGACCUACGGGUGAAAGCAGGGGAUCUUCGGACCUUGCGCGAUUGAAUGAGCCGAUGUCGGAUUAGCUAGUUGGCGGGGUAAAGGCCCACCAAGGCGACGAUCCGUAGCUGGUCUGAGAGGAUGAUCAGCCACACUGGAACUGAGACACGGUCCAGACUCCUACGGGAGGCAGCAGUGGGGAAUAUUGGACAAUGGGCGCAAGCCUGAUCCAGCCAUACCGCGUGGGUGAAGAAGGCCUUCGGGUUGUAAAGCCCUUUUGUUGGGAAAGAAAAGCAGCAGGUUAAUACCCCGCUGUUCUGACGGUACCCAAAGAAUAAGCACCGGCUAACUUCGUG
Molecule: ribosomal RNA, 492 nt
Filed under: uncultured bacterium
Lineage: Bacteria
Description: partial 16S ribosomal RNA
Rfam family: Bacterial small subunit ribosomal RNA
Source: RNAcentral